Molecule: long non-coding RNA, 925 nt
Filed under: Hordeum vulgare
Lineage: Eukaryota; Viridiplantae; Streptophyta; Magnoliopsida; Poales; Poaceae
Description: long non-coding RNA (HVUL_LNC017588)
Source: RNAcentral
CGCGGCGGAGCGAAGUACUUGCAAGUGGAGGCGGGCCUCCAUGGCUCACACGGGGAACUCCGAGGUUAUGGCGCGGCAACGACGACUCCUUAUGGCCAGAUAGAGGUGCCUAACCCUUGCUCCCUCAUCGUAUCCCCUCCUCCGGCAGGAACUCAUCAUCUGGUGAGAUCUCCUCCCCAUGCCUCUAACCGUGUGCUAAGGACCGGCAAGAAAUUUUGUUUUUGUGGGGAUUUGUUUGUUGAUGAAUGAAUGUAUUGAAUGUAAGAUUCAUUUUUGUAGAGACAGAGAAUGGAACACCACCUUCAGUUUGUCAUCUGAUCCCACAUUCUCUACCCCAUGAGUGAAAUAAGAUAACAGUCCAUUGAUCAAUUCACGUAGCCUCUUUGUUUUGCUUUGCUUGUUCCGCUCAAUUUCUCAUCAUGGUGGAAUUAACAAUGGACGGGUUGAUUUCUCAACAAAAUAGGGUAGGACUGACUACAUUAGUUAGUUACUUAUAAAUCAAAAUGAUUAUAAAAUGUGGUAUUUUUUUUCCCGUUGCAACGCACGGGUCCUUUUGCUAGUAACAUACAAAGACAGAAGGUUCUAACUUCGGAUCAACAUGCUUGCAGGGUGGUGAUCAGUUCCUUGGACUGAUGAAGUAGAAGUAAUCAAGCAUGAAAUAAUCGAUCGAACAAGAAGAGGAUGUAGCUGGCAUAGUUGAGGUCGUGUGUUUGUUGCGCCAUAUGCAUACAUGCUAUUUCUGUAAUCGUUGGUUAACUAGGUGCACUGUCUUUUCUUCUUCUUUUAUGUAGCUGUGCACCCUUUCGGGGUGUCAAAGUGUGUGAUGUGGUCGAGAUGUGUUGCCUUCACGGGGCGCCUUUUUGUGUGUGGAAAAGAUGAGCGCUGAAAUCAAGAUGCAAUGCAAGUGUUCGAUCAUGCUUUCUUU